GCGGACGUAACUCAGUGGUAGAGUGAAAGCUUCCCAAGCUUUAGGCCGCGGGUUCGAAUCCCGUCGUCCGCUCCA
RNAcentral lists this transfer RNA (75 nucleotides) under Nitrospirota bacterium. RNAcentral's name for it is "Nitrospirae bacterium (sediment metagenome) tRNA-Gly". It matches the Rfam family "tRNA". From Rfam's summary of the family: Transfer RNA (tRNA) molecules are approximately 80 nucleotides in length. Their secondary structure includes four short double-helical elements and three loops (D, anti-codon, and T loops). The record is from RNAcentral. Lineage: Bacteria; Pseudomonadati; Nitrospirota.